AAGAUACAUUAUUGUUUGAGUAUCCUGAAAACGGGCUUUUCAGCACAGUAAUGUAUAUUUUAACUUAGGAGUGCAUAGUGGCCCGUAUAGCAGGCAUUAACAUUCCUGAU
This is a non-coding RNA of Providencia rettgeri Dmel1, 110 nucleotides long. The record is from Rfam. NCBI's taxonomy places the organism in Bacteria, Pseudomonadati, Pseudomonadota, Gammaproteobacteria, Enterobacterales, Morganellaceae.